UGAGGAAUAUUGGUCAAUGGACGCAAGUCUGAACCAGCCAUGCCGCGUGCAGGAAGACGGCUCUAUGAGUUGUAAACUGCUUUUGUACGAGGGUAAACGCUCUUACGCGUAAGAGCCUGAAAGUAUCGUACGAAUAAGGAUCGGCUAACUCCGUGCCAGCAGCCGCGGUAAUACGGAGGAUCCAAGCGUUAUCCGGAUUUAUUGGGUUUAAAGGGUGCGUAGGCGGUUUGAUAAGUUAGAGGUGAAAUACCGGUGCUUAACACCGGAACUGCCUCUAAUACUGUUGAACUAGAGAGUAGUUGCGGUAGGCGGAAUGUAUGGUGUAGCGGUGAAAUGCUUAGAGAUCAUACAGAACACCGAUUGCGAAGGCAGCUUACCAAACUAUAUCUGACGUUGAGGCACGAAAGCGUGGGGAGCAAACAGG
Molecule: ribosomal RNA, 424 nt
Filed under: uncultured bacterium
Lineage: Bacteria
Description: bacterial SSU rRNA
Rfam family: Bacterial small subunit ribosomal RNA
Source: RNAcentral